AUUGAACGCUGGCGGCAGGCCUAACACAUGCAAGUCGAGCGGAUGAAGGGAGCUUGCUCCUGGAUUCAGCGGCGGACGGGUGAGUAAUGCCUAGGAAUCUGCCUGGUAGUGGGGGAUAACGUCCGGAAACGGGCGCUAAUACCGCAUACGUCCUGAGGGAGAAAGUGGGGGAUCUUCGGACCUCACGCUAUCAGAUGAGCCUAGGUCGGAUUAGCUAGUUGGUGGGGUAAAGGCCUACCAAGGCGACGAUCCGUAACUGGUCUGAGAGGAUGAUCAGUCACACUGGAACUGAGACACGGUCCAGACUCCUACGGGAGGCAGCAGUGGGGAAUUUUGGACCAUGGGCGAAAGCCUGAUCCAGCCAUGGCGCGUGUGUGAAGAAGGUCUUCGGAAUUGAAAGCACUUUAAGUUGGGAGGAAGGGCAGUAAGUUAAUACCUUGCUGUUUUGACGUUACCAACAGAAUAAGCACCGGCUAACUUCGUG
Molecule: ribosomal RNA, 484 nt
Filed under: uncultured bacterium
Lineage: Bacteria
Description: partial 16S ribosomal RNA
Rfam family: Bacterial small subunit ribosomal RNA
Source: RNAcentral